UGUAUUUUUCCGCCAAGAAGCUCAAGCAAUAUUUCCAUGAGCACUCCAUCACGGUCAUCUGCACUGCUAUGACGCCCCAAGCCCAGAGCUCCAGAAGCAUUCCAUGUUUUUUCGUUGUUCUUCAUGUGAUUUGUUUUGCUUCUUGCAUUCCUCUUUGCAUAUUUUGCGUUGCAUCAUGUCAUCAUGCCAUUUAAUUUUGUAAAACUCAACUAAAUAAAUUGCAUGGAUCUUCGGUCCAUUUAAACUGAGGGAAUUCACAUGGUGAUUCUCUUUGUAACAUAUCCUCUUGAUAUUAGGGAGCUAUAUUAAAUAUUCCAUUUGUUUGGAAUUAACCGGAACACCCUUGCAAAAUAAAUCCCAAUGCCUUUAUUAUCACAACUCUUGGCCUCUAAUUUUGCUAUAUAUCCUUUCUACAUUUUCCCGAGCUCUACCGAAAUUCUCAACAUUUUGGCCACACCUAAACCUUGUCCUAGUUCAAACCAUUUGAAUUAAAUUCAAAUGAGUUUGAAUUUAAAUCUUGCAAUCAUGACCAUUCCUAUUUUCUCGGAACAUGCACGUUUUUUUGUGAGUCCGGAGAAAUUAUCCCCAUGCGAAAAAUCCUUCCCUAACCCUCUCUUUCUUUUCCUCUCCCUAAUUUCUUUUCUGUUAAAGAAAUAAGUUUUAAAGAGAGAGAGAGAGAAGAGGGCCGGCCCAACCUCCCUUUAGCCCAGCCAGGCCUCUGGCCACUGGGCCUCCUAGCACGCUAGCCCACAUAAAUCCAUCCUAACCCUAACCCUCUCCCGAACACCCACUCCCUUCCCUUGUUCUCCUCCCUCACGCCGCCACUCAUGCAUUGCCAGAGAGAGGAGAGCGCUGCCUCGCUCGAUCCCUCUCCCUCUCAUCCUCCUGAUAGGCGCCGCCAGCCUCCCCUGUCACACCCUCCCGAUCCCCUCUCCUCGAGCACCGGCCGCCCACAGUAGCCUCCUCCCCUCAUGUCCCUGCCUAGCCCCACCAUGAAUGCUGCAAGACCUCGCAGCUGCCUCCCUGCCUCCGGCCAUGGCGCCCACGCUGGCGACCCGACCUGCCCUGCCGCGCUCUACUCCUUCCCCCACGUCCCCGUCUCACUGGAGCGCACCACCACCAUCGCCGCCUCCUUGCUCGGGAUAGCAAAGGCUCGAUCCCGAGAAGAACUAGCGCUCUGCUUCUCCACCGGAGCUCUUCUUCCGUGCGCCUUCGCCGUCCAAGACCAGCAAGCCACUGUAGCGCCAUUUUUGCCUCCUCAUUCACGUUCUGGUAAGCCUGGACCUCCCCUGCAAGCUCUUGCCACCGCGCUGAGUCCCUGCGCGCCUCCUCUGCUUCGCUUCUGCAUGAGGAUGAGCCCCUGCCUUUGCCUUUCGCCGAGUUCGAGUGGCCCCUGUUCAAGCCGCCAAGACCACUUCAUGGUUUUCACCAAGUUCGGUCACUGUUGAACCGAGGGCUUUUUGCCUUGCUUGGAUACGCAAGACCUUUCUGUAUAUUGCAUGUUGCGUGCCACAAUGACCAUGGAUUCGACACGCAUGUGCCAAGUUCCACUACCGUCGCUCGGAUUCGACAAGACAAUGUGUACCGCGACGCCCGAAGACACUGGAUGCACCAAGUUCCUCUUCGGACAUGUACAAUUACCAUCCCAUGCAUGUCACCAAGUACCACGACAUUGACGACCCCGAACAUCUACGAGAACGUGUGCUCCACUACCGUCGACCCUCGAAGACUCUGUGGACAUCAAGUUCCUCACCGUGGCCCCAAACAUCUACGAAACAUGAACGACUACCUCCUCUGUGGACAUCAAUUACCAUACCGUGGCCCCAAAGAUAUCUCAGGAGAUUCGCGUUUCCAUUCCUAGUUUGCUUAAGCUAUCUCGAGGUUGUUAUCUUAUUCAAGCCAUUUAACUCAACCGGCACAAUCUAUCUUUUAAAUCGUUCAACAGUGUUUCUUUUGAGUGGGCCCUAACCCACAGGUCUUUUCCAGAAUCUUACCUGACUCCUCUCUUUCCCGGAGUUACUCUCAAAUUCUUCUCCAAGUUUGACGUAAGAAUGAAUUUUCAUCAGACAUUUGUAUUUCUCCAAGAUCUGUCAAAUUAUUUUCAUCGUUGGCUCAACUUUUCUAUUCGUCAUCCCGGAGUAUCUCAACAAUUCAUGGUGGUGUCUCUCAUCAUCAUUCUCUGCAUUUGAAGACCGAAGAAGAGUUUUCCUCCAAAUCUUAUUCGUUCUCUCAAAGAUUCGUGAUUCUAGCUUGUUGCCAUCCUCUCAUAAUUGUUUUUAGAUUGUGAGAAUUCUUUUCACCCAUCCGGAGCAAUUCAGGAGUAUCUUUCAGUUUGAUUAUCCGGAGCCCAUCAUCUCAGAAUUAUUCAUUCCAGCUUUUCAGCUGUCGUUCUCCAAAUCAUACCGGUGCUUCAUUGACAUAUCCUCUAAUUAGUUCACGAUCUCUUCAUUCUCAUGUAUCUAAAUCCCAGCAAGUAUCUUCUUUCAUUUUUCUAAUUCUUCCCGGUGAUUUGUGCCUUUGCUACUUUCUUUUUCAAUUCUUACGGUGGUUCGUUCAAGAUUUCUCCUCCUUCGUUAUCGUAUCAAUUCAUGCAUUCUUUCCAAAUCCUACCGGUGGCUUGUUCAAGACUUUUAUCAAGUUUACACUAUAUCUCUCCUCAAUCCUUUUUCAAGAAGAAUAAGCAGUAUGCCAAAUCCGUUGCUUGCACUACUAGGAAAAGGGCUAUAAAUAAUAUGGACACUAAUGGCGCACGAGACAUGUGGUGCGCCACUACUAUAUAGCAGUGGCGCACCAUGUGUCGGUGCGCCAUUAGUGUGAUAGACACUAAUGGCGCACCACAUCCACGGUGCGCCACUACUAACAUAAUUUUUUUUAAUUUUUCCAAAAAUACAAAUGGCGCACCAGGGCACAGUGCGCCAUUACUAGUUUUAACUAGUAAUGGCGCACCACCCACCCGUGCACCACUACUAUCAAUUUUUUUAAAAAAUAUUUUUUGAAAUCAUGAAUAUUUUUAAAUUUAAUUCAUGGGAACUUUUUGAAUUUAUGAAUAUUUUUUCAAAUUUGAUGAUAUUUUUCAUAUUCAAUAUGAAAAAAUAUUGAAUAUUCAUGAGGACACUCGAUCUCGAUCCCCCUCCAUCUUGAUCGCUAUCCCCCCUCGCCAGACCCCCCUCGCCGCCGAGCACCCCUNNNNNNNNNNNNNNNNNNNNNNNNNNNNNNNNNNNNNNNNNNNNNNNNNNNNNNNNNNNNNNNNNNNNNNNNNNNNNNNNNNNNNNNNNNNNNNNNNNNNNNNNNNNNNNNNNNNNNNNNNNNNNNNNNNNNNNNNNNNNNNNNNNNNNNNNNNNNNNNNNNNNNNNNNNNNNNNNNNNNNNNNNNNNNNNNNNNNNNNNNNNNNNNNNNNNNNNNNNNNNNNNNNNNNNNNNNNNNNNNNNNNNNNNNNNNNNNNNNNNNNNNNNNNNNNNNNNNNNNNNNNNNNNNNNNNNNNNNNNNNNNNNNNNNNNNNNNNNNNNNNNNNNNNNNNNNNNNNNNNNNNNNNNNNNNNNNNNNNNNNNNNNNNNNNNNNNNNNNNNNNNNNNNNNNNNNNNNNNNNNNNNNNNNNNNNNNNNNNNNNNNNNNNNNNNNNNNNNNNNNNNNNNNNNNNNNNNNNNNNCUAGGCAACAAAAAAUUCGAUUUUUUUACUAAUGGCGCACUGCUAGGGGGUGCGCCAUUGCUAUCCAAAAAAAGAUUACAAAUGGCGCACCUCUAGGUGAUGCGCCAUUGCUAUCCAAAAAAAGAUUACUAAUGGCGCACCGCCAGGAGGUGCACCAUUGCUAUCAAAAAAAAUUACUAAUGGUGCACCGCUGGGUGGUGCGCCAUUGCUAACCCUCCCCCCACUAAAGUCCCCACUCCACUUGCUCCCCUGUCCCUCUGGCCUCUCUCCCUCCCUUCGCCAGAUCCAUGCGCCCUCCCCUGACCCACUGCGCCGCCGCCCCAACCCACUGCACCGCCGCCCAGACCCUCCCCGAGCGCGGCCGCCGCGCGUCACCGCGGCCACCGACCGCCCCGAGCUCCGUCGUCGUGCCGGCAUCACCUAGGAGCUGCGCCAGGAGCUGCGACCUAUUCUUCCUCAUCACUGACCACUGCUUCUCGGUGUCUAUCUGCGCUGCCCCGACCACCCUUGGCCUCGCCGUCUCCUUCCCAAGCUCUGCGGGGAGCGUCUCCAUCGGUUCCCCGCUUUUCCCCUUGUUUUGUCGUUGUUUGUGCCGCCCACCACUUCCCUGCGGGCGCUCGUGCUCACCGCGCCGGCCGCCCCUCGCGUGCCGUGCGCCACCCACUCGCGUAGAGCCUAGAGGAUGGCCCCUCACAUAGAGCAUAUUGUAAAUGCAUAUUGUAGAAGAAGUUGAAUAGAAAGAGUUGGUAUUUGCGUUAGUUGUACAGAUGAAGAAGCUAAUUUUUUUGGGUUUCGUACUGCUGUCCAUGAUUACAAUACCGUAGAAGUUUGGUACUAGUAGAAACUUUGGAACUUGGAAACCCAAAUCAGUCGAGUUUCUGUUUGAUUAGCCUACUGUAUUCCUGAUUUUUGUUUCAUUUAGCAUAUUGUAAAUGCUUUGAAAUAACUGAACCAAAUUCAGUUUGUAUCCUACAGUAAUCCAGGUUUUCAGGUUGAAAUAACUAAACUUGAAAUAGCUUUGGAAGCCUGUUAGUAACCUAACUAUCUUGUGCUUAUGCUUAUAUGUUGUACGGUAUAUUUUCUGAAGCAACAAUGGAGAUGUGUUCCUUGUUAUUUACAUACUCUUCUUCUUUCCGCUUUUGGACUGUCAUUUCCUUUGAUCUUCUCCUAAUGCUACUUAGUAUGUACUCGCAUCUUCUUGCUAGGAUGAUAUAAUUAUUUGUAGACUGUUUACCCAUUUUUCAUUUCUGCUUAUGGAUAACUCUGUUUUUUAUUACUCCGCACAUCCCCUGUUCCGAGCGCGUGUUGUAUAGUGUUUACUGCUUACAACAGUCAAGUAAUAUGAUCUUUUAAUGCCUUGUGAUGCUCUGAAUUACUUGUCAUCACAUUGAGAAAGACUUGUAAAGAUAAUGAUCAUCUUUUACAGAAAACAAUUUCUGUAAACACAUCAGUAACUUUGCUAGUUUGUGUAACAUCCCAAAAUUCUAAAUUUUGGAAUGUUAUAAUAAAUAGAUAGAUUUGAUUGAUUGUUUGAUUGAUUGUCUGAAAGUGAGUGAAUUCAAAACUUUUUGAAAGUUAAAUGAGAGGGAAUAAAAGGAAUUUCCCAAACUUUCAUAUUUGCUUUCUGAUCUCCGUGAAUUCAAAUUCUUUUCAACCCAAAACCCUAGAGAGAAGAUGACAUGACUUCUUCCAUUUUAAUUAAAUGAAAAGGGUUGUUGAAAAUAUUGAAUUUCAUUUGAAAAUAUUUCAAAUUCUUAAACUUCAAGCAAAUCAAUGAUUUUCAUGAGCAAAGAUAAAAUGACUUCUUCAAAUUAUAUGAAAUGUGAGUUGGGAGUUAUAAAAGAUCACAUUUAAAGUCUUUUUUGAAUUUAUUUUCAAUUUGGAGUUAUUUGAGUUUUAUUCAAAUUAUUUUUCUCCAAAAAUAAAAUAUAUGGAAAUUAGGGCAACAUGAUUCCCUACAUUAGAAAAUUGGAGAAAAUUAAUUUGAAAUCAUUUUGGUAUUUUUAAAAUGAUUUUUAUUGGAUUUUAUUAGACCUGUAGCACUCUUUGAAUUAUCUGAAUUUGUGUGGAUUUUAUUUGGCAUUAUAAAAAUGUCCAUGUUGUAGAAAAUCUUUUUCUGAAAAUUAUGAUAUAUUAUAUGCCUAUAUAAUAUUUUUAGUUAUUUUGGUUUUAUUAUUUUUGUUCUCUGAAAAAAAAUGUUAAAAAAAACCUCUUCGCCGACUGGGCCGGCCCAGCUCCUAGCCAGGCCGCGGCCCAGCCCAUCCGCACCAUCGCCACCGACCCCGGGCGGAGACCCUCGCCCGUACGCCGCCGGCCCUCGCCGUGUCCGAGGCGGACACGCCGCCGUCGCCCCUUCCCCACGCCUCCCGAGGCCCCCUAACCCCCUUUAAAGCCCCGCCGCCUCCUCCUCCCCUCCCCGCUUCUCGUCGCCGCCGCAUGCGCCAGCGCCGCCGCCCUCUGCCGCACUCGCCGCCACCGUUGGUUGCCGCCGCUGCCGCCUCGCUGCUCGCUGCUCCUCGCCGCCGCCGCUGCUCCACCACCGCGCCGCUGCCUUGCUAUGCUGCCGCCACUGCUCGCGUGCGCCGCACCCCGCCAGAGCUGCUGCCCGAUCCAAACCGCCACCUCGCCGGAAUCCGCAGUCGCUGGGGAACCGCCAUCGGGUUUUUGCCGAAAACCGCCCGAACCGGUAUAAAACCGCCCCGGUCCGGUUUAUUUUCCUUUAGGUUUACUUCAGUUUUCGUUUAAAAAAACCAGUUUAGUUUUUCUUGUUAGAUCUAUUUAGAGAACGUCCUCUGUUUAGAACUAGUUAGCGAACGUUCACUUUUUAGAUUUCUCUUUUUCUUUUAUUUCUUUAGUUUUCUGUCCAGGGACCUAUUUGUAGUAGUUUCUUUUACAGAUUAGUCCCUGUACUUCAAACGACCACAACUUUUUGCUCGUUAGUCCAAAUCCAAUGAAACCAACACUCACGUCUUCGUUAUGAUCCCCUCUAUCCAGUAAAGCAACUCAAACAUGUUUUUGAAAAGUUUAAAUUUUGAAUUAGACUAGAUUUGAAUUCAAACUUCGUUUGAUCAUAACUUGAGUUUCGUAGCUCCGUUUGAGUUGAUUCUUUUUGCAAAUGGAAGCUCUUGACCUAAACUUUCUGAUAAGGCAAAAUUCACAUAAUUUUGGUACUGUUAGAAAUUGUUUUAUGUUGCAAGAGCUAUUUGCUUGGUUUUGAUGUUUUCCGAAUCGUCUUCUCGAUCUUUCUGAUCUUUUGAGUGAUUGCUUAUGUGUGGUUACUAUUGCUUGCUUACGAUAGAUUGACCGGAGUGUGACGAGUAGAGCUAUCAAGAGUUUUGAGUGUGAAUCAUCUUCAUCAACAUUGCACGCAAGUAACACUUUGAUCAUACCUUUCCUACUACCCAGUUUUAUUGCAUUAGAUCAAUCCUCACACAUUGCACGAUUAGGAUCUAAAUAAAUUGUGGAAUGGGAAGUAGUGGAGGUGGUACCUAUUCCCUGUUUAUUAUCAAACCUUUGGGAGUUACUUCUACGUUUGCUUAUUAUGCCAUGCUAUGCUAGUAGACGUGGAUUGGGUGAGUGAUAUCCAUGACAGAUGUGAGUUUGUUAACUAAUGGUUUAUCUAAGGUGGCAACUUAAACACACAUCUGGGUGGAUUGAGGCACCUGGUUAUUCCAGGAUUGCCUGUCUAGGCACUUGGGUAUUCCAGGAUUGCCUAUUUUUUUAUGGACCACCACCCAGGCUCAAUGGGAUCAUGAGAUUAUUCAUACUAGAAACUUCUGUGUGCAGCCACAGGCUAUUAUGGGCUCUAGCAUAGUUGAUUAAGUCGUGUGAACUCUUACAGUAGUAGACUAGCAGAUGUAGGGGUUGUAGGUGGUACGGUCUACCCAUCGUAAGGUGCAAAUGCUUUUGAAAGACUAUGUCUCGGUCAUCCGUCUCUCAAACACCAUGUAGUGUGAGAAACCAAACGGAGGCGAUCGAGUCUUGUGGGGAAAAGUGCGCAAACCUCUGCAGAGUGUAUAAACUAAUCAUGGUUAGCCAUGUCCCCGGUUAUGGACGUCUUGAGUAUCUAGUACUUGGAUUAUCAUGUGAAUCUCAUCAUGUUACUUUAAAUUAAGUUUGUUGGGUUUAAUGAUGUUAUUUAAUUGGGAUUGAGAAUGCUGUCAACCAUUCUCAAUGUUCAACAACCACCAUGAUAGUUAAAUAAAAUUUAUUCCUUUGCAGUAGGGAAAAAUUGGCUUUUCACAAAAACCUUAUAACCGUAGAGCUUUUCCACCAGCCAAAUAUGCAUGUAGUGAUAGCCAUUGUUCAUCAUUCUCUAUGGUGUGAAUUUGCCAGUACAUUCAAUGUACUGACCCUUUGUGGCUGCACCGUCUCAUGUUGCAGGUUUAUCUUACGACGAGUAAGUGAUACGUUAGGGUUACAAUUUCUACACUCAACUUUGCCGUUGGUGUUGAUGGGAAUCCACAACCUUGUUACUUCUGCUAUUUUGGAUUGAGGUAAUAGUAUCUUACAUUUAGUUAUACAUGUGACUUACCUCUGUUAUAAAUCCUCGAGUACUGUGUGUGUCAGCAUGCCGAUCCAGGGAUGACACUUAAGCACAGAGACUUGAUCCAUUAGGGUCGGGUCGCUACAGUUUGCUGGGUUUUGUCUCCGACCAUCGUGUCAUGAUGAUUUUGUAGGUACCCCAGGAGGCCCUUGAGUUUGCUGGAAUGUCGAUUAACUUCCAUUCCGGCAAAUUCGGGUACUCCAUAAUGUCCUAUUUUCAGCAAAGGUCAUGCUAAAAUUUUCUAUGAAUUUUAGCAUGACUUUGCUAAAAAUAGGACAUAUGGGGUACUUGCGGCUAAUGCAUGGGCCGGGGUAUCUUAAUACUUAAUUAAGUAGGAUCAACUGCCUCUUGUGUUAUACAUAUAGAAGUGUGAUAUCAACUCAUAGUUAUUACUAAUGUUAGUUGCUCGUCAUCGAUAAACCCUAAUCUGGUAGGAUGACCUACUAAAAAACACCAUACCACAUAUUCUAUUUGGAUGGCCCUGCUAACCCUUGACCAUAAAUACUUGAGAUGGAUGUAGCAGGCUUAAAGAAAGAAAUGUUUUAGGCCAACUCCACUGGGCCUGGCUGAAAAUGCACAAGAGUGCAUGACUAACAAUAUUCUAUUGUAGACCUAAACAGGAAAUAGGAACCACUUAUCCUAACCAUUGCUCUCAAAAUUACUACUUCACUUCUUACUACUGAAAAUCUUAGACCAUCUCCAUUCACCAAUAGCUCAAACCAGUUUGAAGGGCAUGUUUUCACUACACUGUGGAUUAUCUUAUUGGACCCAACGCAAGAGAUGAUGUAGUUUUGAAUUAUGAACGUAGGAAAUGUCGUCAUCGGACGACAAAAGUCUCCCGGGGGAGUGCGGCUGGUGCCACGACGAUCGAGGUCUGUGCAACAUGCCUUACCUGGACGAUGAUCGGCACUUCAGCAUUAAGCUCGAGGAGACCUUCGAACUUGAAAUGGUACACAAUGACGACAAGUGUUAUUUUCAUAAUUAAGCAUGACUUCAACUAUUUCAACGUGUAAUUUUCAUCUUUUACAAAUCGAUUAUAGCUUAUCCCAUGCCAUGCAAGAUGCUAUGUCUUGGAGAGGAUGGAUUCUGAAGACCAUGAAAAUUCUGAAACAAAGAAAAUUCACCUAAGGACUCAUCACGAUGUGGAUUUUGAAGUAAAUCUAUAUAAUUCUGGGAGCGUAACCCAUUUUGGUUGCAAAAAAUAGGAAGCAUUUUGCAAGAUGUAUGGUUUUGAUGAGGGUAUGCUUGUCACCAUGGAUCUUGGUGAUCCUGACAUCGACCAAGACAAUAUGGACAUUUGGGUCCUUGUUCAUACGCCUCCAGUUCUACCGCUAUGUGAGUUUCUCAAACAUAGUUAAUUAUUAACUAAUUUAUAUUGUUCAUUUCAAAAUAGUUGAUAGCUUAUUUCCACUGACAGCUUAUGUUCAUUCUUCAAAGAAUGUGUGGGAGAUGGUAGACAAAACCCACUACACCGAUGGCUCCGAAUUAACUUACAACAAGAAAAAUCAUAUGGUCAGAUUUUGAACUGACAUUGAGAAUUAUAAUAUCUACAAUCAAACUCCUCAACAUUAUGGUCAAUACGUGCCACUAAUGCAUGUGUUGAACUACGGUAACUACCAUGGAGAUACCCUGGUAAGAUUUUUUACUAUUACUUCUAAAACUGUACAUCAUUGCUAACUAUGAAGUUAUUACUAUGUUUUUCAACAGAUAAUCCCAGAGAAUUGUGUCCCUCAUUUGAUGUAUCAGAAAGGUAGCCUUAAUGUUUUGAACAUAUAGCCAGGUCAACCUACGAAUCUUAACUGUCCAUACCACAUUUCUAAAAGAAGUGGAGACAUGCAAAUCAAAGGAUGGAAAAAAUGUAUAGACAGUCGUAAGGAGGUUCUUGGAAGCAAAAGGAAGCGAAGCGCAAGAAUUGGAGACGGGAUGAUCUCCAUUCUCCAUAAUGGAGAGUCAGGGUCUAUUUUGUUUUAUGCUAUUUUACCUUAAAUAGGGUAUUUAGGUCAUGUUUCGGCAUAGCAGUAGCAGUAGCACGGAGAUAAGAGAUGACACAUCUCUCAAAUAUCUCCGAAUGCAGCAUUACUUUCGACAAACUCGCUACUCGCGGUCUCAAGACUUGUAAUGUUCUACCUUUGAUCGGUCUUUUGAAUUCAGAGACUAAUAUGAUGAAUUGUAUCCGGAGACUAAUCUUCUAUUGUAUUUGAUGAAUCUGUUGUUGCUGUGUGGUGCUGUCCAUAUUCUGUCCAGUAAUAUACUUUGUAACCUGUGCAAAUAUCAUAACAGAACAAAAUCCCUAAUAUUCAUACUAGUGGCGCACCACCAACUAGUGCGCCAUAAGUAAGCCAGAGCACACUAGUGGCGCAUCAUCAACUAGUGUGCCAUUAGUAAGCCAGAGCGCAAGGGGGAAUAUGGCCCCUGGGAGACAUACUAUUGGCGCACCAUGGGAUAUACUAAUGGCGCACUGCAUGGUGCGCCAUUAGUAUACCAGAUACUAAUGGCGUGAUGCUAGUGGCGCACCUGUAGUGCGCCAUUAGUAGGUGAAACAGGUGCGCCACCAGCAGGCAUGUUCCUAGUAGUGUUGUCAUCAAUUUAAUUGAUGAAGGAUAAGCAUAAUGUAAUUCUUAUUCUUGUUUUCUUUCAAGCGAUUAAUUCCUUAUUCCGGAGGUUCACCAAAAUUAUUGAUCUCAUUUGUUCAUCUCUCUUUGGGGAGUUCCAAGUUUUCUCGGUGAUAUCAUCGCGAAGUUUCAUCUAAUCAUUGCAAGGCUUCAAUCUUAUUUUUUUCAUCCUUCAUUUCUUUUGAUCAUUCUUUUAUUACCGGAGUUCUACAUGGAGGAUCUACAUGGUGGUUCGUCAAGGAUUCUUUUCAUUCUUCAAUUGUUCUUCAAGAUCUCUUUCGAAGUUUAGAUCCGCCAAGCUAUACUCUCAAAUAAACAUGGGGCUCAAUGCAUGUCUUGUUUUGAGGAGUUCAGACAUUCUUCAUCUUGCAUUCCGAAGUGCAAUUCUUUCUACCUUAUCUUUUGAGGUGGUGUUAUGUCAUUCUUGACAAUUUCCCUUCAUGCUACAUGAUUCACAAGUUGUCUAGAAUGACAUAUUUUAAACCCAUCAUUUUCAAUGCGGUCAGGAGAUUCUUUGCAACCCAUCAAUCUCUUCAUUGGAGUUAUCCUGGGUUAUAUUUCACCUAAAUAUUUCCCUAAGGAUUGUUGCUACUUAUGGUGCUUGUAAAUGACCCAAGUUCUUCAUUUAUCCUGCUGGUGAGAUAAGUUUCUCGUCUCCUUGUUCAUAUCAAUCCAAUCUUUUGUUUCGUUAGUGGCAGAUUUUCACCUCAAGAUUUCGAGAUGUUUUCCAUAAGCCCACAACAAGCUUACUCUUUUCGUGUUGGUUUUCAAACAACUCCGUUCAAUCCUUCUUUUUAAGGCUGCUUUUCAAAUUCUAUUGUGGUAGAAGAUGUCAUUUUCUUCCCAACUCUUUUCUUUCCAACGAUCCAACUUCUAUUCUUUCGUUCCGAAGGCAUUGUGAUGUUGCUCUUUUCACUCAUCAUCUCGGAUUAUGAGGACCAUGUUCUUUUCGUGCUUACCCAUUCAACCAGAGUGUCGUGUCCUCUUUUCAAGUAUCCUCUCAUCUUGUCAAGAUCAUGUUCUAUUCCUUCCAUUUACAGUCGGAGUGCUGUCCAAUUUAUAUCAUUGUUAUUACUUCUCUAUCUUGUUUUAACCGGAGUGUUGUGUCUAUCAUUCCUCUUCUAACCGGAGUCUCAUCCAAGUGCUUUCAUUUUGCCAAGCUCAUAUCCUUUACCUUCCAUUUCCAACCGGAGUGUUGUCGCAAUUGAUGCUUAUCGUUCCUUGUACAUCUUGUUUCAAUCAGAGUGCUUGCAUGUACUUCUUGCCCAUUGCAACCCCUUUUCUCACGUCUUUCAACCUACGGUGUUCUCGUGAUGUUCCUUGCUCCUCUUAUCUAAUGGAGUGUUUUCAACUUUGUUCAUCUCUGUUGUAUUCUUUUCUCAAUGUUGUUUAACCUCUCAAGGUUCAUUGGUUUUCACUCAUUUGUACAAGAAGCAACUUAGUUUUACCUCUUCUCUUCCUCUUCCAUUUUUCUCUCUGGUGCCAUCCUAGAUCUCGGGACGAGAUACUCUCGUAGUGGUGGAGUGUUGUGGUGGAGUGUUAUCUUGAUAUUCACUACCUUUAUAAAGGGUUAAGGAUUCACCUCUUUCACCCACGCCCCCUUCCUUUUUGCCCAUCCAUUCUUGAGCUCCAGCGCCCAAGCUUCCAUCCUUUCCGCCUCCAAAAAAGCACUCCAGCCAUGUCCGGAUCUGGAGCGCAAGCCAAGUGGAUGGUUUCCUCCGUCAAGGAGAAGGGCAUCACCAGGCUCCGGGAGGCUGGGUACCUAGCCAAGGAAAUCGCCCAUCGGCGCCCGGCCAAGGGAUAGAUUGUCCCCAUGCUAGAGCCCCAUGAGAGGGUCGUUUACAUCCCCCACUUCGUCCGCGGGUUGGGAUUUCCUCUCCACCCAUUCGUCCGCGGACUCAUAUUCUACAACAGGCUGGAUUUCCAUGAUCUGGCCCCCAACUCCUUCCUCAAUAUCUCGGUAUUUAUUGUCGUGUGCGAGGCCUUUCUCCGUAUCCCACCCCACUUUGGACUGUGGUUGAAGAUCUUCAACGUGAAGCUGAAGGUGGUGGAUGGCCAACAUGCUGAGUGCGCAGGCGCCAUGGUGAGCAAGCUGCCCAAUGUCACAUGUCCCAAAGGUACCUUCAUGGAGACCGUCAAAGGGUGGCAACACCAGUGGUUCUAUGUCAAAGAGCCUCGUGAUGCCACCUGGAUCGCGGCUCCUGAAUUCCUGUCCGGCGCCCCGAUGCAGCUCACCUCCUAGCUAGAGAAGGUCCUAAACUGGUCUUCGUCGGACGAGGUGACAGCGCUUCAGACGUGCAUCGGAAGCAUGGUGGACAAGAACGUCAAGCUUGUAAAUGUGAUCCCGGUGAUGCUCGCUGGCCAGAUCCUUCCGUGCCAAAGCCGGACUUGUCACUUGUGGGAGUUUGAUCCGG
RNAcentral lists this long non-coding RNA (13218 nucleotides) under Triticum aestivum (bread wheat). RNAcentral describes it as "long non-coding RNA (TAES_LNC005984)". The record is from RNAcentral. Lineage: Eukaryota; Viridiplantae; Streptophyta; Magnoliopsida; Poales; Poaceae.